RNAcentral lists this transfer RNA (83 nucleotides) under Schistocephalus solidus. It matches the Rfam family "tRNA". Rfam says of the family: Transfer RNA (tRNA) molecules are approximately 80 nucleotides in length. Lineage: Eukaryota; Metazoa; Platyhelminthes; Cestoda; Diphyllobothriidea; Diphyllobothriidae. The record is from Rfam by way of RNAcentral.
GGCCUUCUAGCUCAGUUGGCUAGAGCCUUGGCUUAACUGAAGCCUUUAAAUUGCUGGCAUGGGUUCAAAUCCCACCGAGGCCA